Taeniopygia guttata (zebra finch) is the source of this 2078-nucleotide long non-coding RNA. NCBI's taxonomy places the organism in Eukaryota, Metazoa, Chordata, Aves, Passeriformes, Estrildidae. The record is from Ensembl.
GCGCGGAGGGCGGAGCGGGGCGCAGGGAAUUAAAUUUCAGCAAGAACUUCUUGACGAGGUUCUGAAAUCUCCUUCUCUAGAGGAGACUACCUGAUUCAAAACCUGCCUGGGUGCAUUCCUGUGUCACCUGCUUUUGAUAACCCUGCCUUGGCCAGGGGGCUAGGCUAGAUGAUCUCCAGAAGCCCCUUCCAACCCUAAUGAUUACGUGAAUUCUUUGUGUGGAAAUGUGAUUUGUGCUAGAGAAUUAAAAUAUCUUAAAAAUGUUUUUGGGUUCAAACUGACAAAGAGGUUUCAUUUCGGUGGGUUUGAGGUUUUGGGAUGUUCUGGUUGGAUUUGGGCUUUUUUUUGUUUGUUUGAGCUUUUUUUUAGAAAAUGAACUUUGUUUUGUUUUACAAAAAUAGGUCUACUUCUUUUCCUGUCUUCUUGCUGCAGUGAUGACGAUGUACAUAAAUGAUCUAGUUGAUACUCCUAAAAGAUUAGUGAAAUGAAGAAAUAACAGAAAAUGCCAUGUUUUCAAUAGAUUCUUCUCUGACAUAAUCAUCUAGUAGUGGUAAUAAUGAAGUGUGUGUACAUAAAUGAAUUUGAAACAAUGUUUGCAGAACUGACAAUGUUACCAGGCUCAAAAUCUAGUGCAGUCACAGGUUUGAUACUCAACUGAAGAACUUGGAAUUAGAGCAGAACUGUGUCCUGUGUUUAUAUCUAUUUUAGUACCUAGUGCUGGCAGACUUACCUGAUGCCAAAGAGGUGAGGUGAAAACACAGAGAUUUCUUUACUAAAACUUAGAAAAGGAAUGCAAACAAAUUCAUAAUGUGAAGAGGUAUAAGCUUUCCAGUCAGUUUUGAGCCUCUCUGAAUUUUUCAUCGUGUUCUAGUCAUGACAUUUUAGAGAAUUGCAUUUAGAGGUCAUGUUGGGAAAGAAAAAGAUUUUCCUAGUUACCUUUUUGUGCAAUGGUAAAUUGUGGUGUCAGGGUAGUUGUACCUUUCUAAUUCCUAUGACUGUAAUGUUGGUCUGCUCAGAUUACCAAAUCUUUUGCUGAGACGCCAGAUUGUAUCUCCUGUAUUUCACAAUUCCUCAAUCUUUAGAGUAGAGUGAACACUUUCCCACUCCAGAGGAGGCUUCACUUCUUCCACCUCUUGCUGGUGUUCAUCAGAACCCUUGCUGAGCUAGGAUAUCUCACUAACCAGCAGAAAGCCACCCACUGCUCUGAUGUGGUUUAAGGGUUUGUGGUUUUCGGGGUUUUUUUUUGUUUUGGUUUGGUUUUUUUUUCAAAGUAGCAUUAAUCUUUACCAGAUUAUUAAUUAGAAUGGUUCACUGACAAGUCCGAUGACUGCUAGAGUGAUAUUAAUAGAAGAGUGUUGUUCUGAUUUUUAAGAUUUUCUAAAGCCUUCUGAGUUUACAUUCUUGUAGAGAACUUUCUCACACAACUUUCUGUAAACAAUCUAUUGUUUUGCAUUCCUCCAUAGAAGUGGAGAAACUUAAUGUACUAAUAGUUUAUCCAAUGUCAUUGGAGAGGUGGCACAUUCAUCCUCCAAUCCACUCUCACCUUUAGAAAAAUAUAAAUGCUAGAGCAGAAAAUAAACUUCCUCUUUUUCACCUUUGCAAUAGCAGCGGCUGGCGUCGUGCUUUCAGGUGUCCUAUAGUGACAGAAGAGGGUAAGGAAAUUCAACUUGCAGAGCACUGAAGUAUUUAAUAGCCACAAUAGAGAACUAGUUCUGUAGGUUUUCCCUAAAAGCAUUAAGACUUUCUCACAAUUUUGUUGCAGCAUUUUUGAGAGAAAGAGGGCAUGAAUUGUGAAAGUUGAGCUACUCCAGGCUAGGCCUCAGAUUGAGGCCUGGUGGGGCCUUCAGGCCUCUGACGCAGUUAGAAAUUCAGAGGUUGUGGCGCAGAUAGAAAAUAGUCUUAAGGUAUUGUAGGGACCACCGGGUGUGAACUAGUAUAGGUUUUAUGGUGUACAGUGUAGGCCGUUUUAAGGAAAAGGUAAACAAUGUUAGCCUACCAAUCAGAGUGUCUUUGUUUCUGUAAACUAUGUAGAAGCAUAUAUAAACUACCGCCUGAUUUUGAAUAAACGGAGAACGUUG